UACGUAGGGUGCAAGCGUUGUCCGGAAUUAUUGGGCGUAAAGAGCUCGUAGGCGGUUUGUCGCGUCUGCUGUGAAAACUCAGGGCUUAACCCUGAGCCUGCAGUGGGUACGGGCAGACUAGAGUGUGGUAGGGGAGAUCGGAAUUCCUGGUGUAGCGGUGAAAUGCGCAGAUAUCAGGAGGAACACCGGUGGCGAAGGCGGAUCUCUGGGCCAUUACUGACGCUGAGGAGCGAAAGCGUGGGGAGCGAACAGG
This 253-nucleotide ribosomal RNA is filed under the name uncultured bacterium. RNAcentral describes it as "partial 16S ribosomal RNA". It matches the Rfam family "Bacterial small subunit ribosomal RNA", at positions 524 to 776 of the family's 1533-position model. The record is from RNAcentral.